This 468-nucleotide ribosomal RNA is filed under the name uncultured bacterium. Its description in RNAcentral is "partial 16S ribosomal RNA". It matches the Rfam family "Bacterial small subunit ribosomal RNA", at positions 28 to 507 of the family's 1533-position model. The record is from RNAcentral.
GACGAACGCUGGCGGCGUGCUUAACACAUGCAAGUCGAACGGAAAGGCCCUGCUUUUGUGGGGUGCUCGAGUGGCGAACGGGUGAGUAACACGUGAGUAACCUGCCCUUGACUUUGGGAUAACUUCAGGAAACUGGGGCUAAUACCGGAUAGGAGCUCCUGCUGCAUGUUGGGGGUUGGAAAGUUUCGGCGGUUGGGGAUGGACUCGCGGCUUAUCAGCUUGUUGGUGGGGUAGUGGCUUACCAAGGCUUUGACGGGUAGCCGGCCUGAGAGGGUGACCGGCCACAAUGGGACUGAGAUACGGCCCAGACUCCUACGGGAGGCAGAAGUGGGGAAUAUUGCACAAUGGGCGGAAGCCUGAUGCAGAAACGCCGCGUGCGGGAUGACGGCCUUCGGGUUGUAAACCGCUUUCGCCUGUGACGAAGCGUGAGUGACGGUAAUGGGUAAAGAAGCACCGGCUAACUACGUG